Molecule: ribosomal RNA, 482 nt
Filed under: Streptomyces coelicoflavus
Lineage: Bacteria; Bacillati; Actinomycetota; Actinomycetes; Kitasatosporales; Streptomycetaceae
Description: partial 23S ribosomal RNA
Rfam family: Bacterial large subunit ribosomal RNA
Source: RNAcentral
CAACGGAUAAAAGGUACCCCGGGGAUAACAGGCUGAUCUUCCCCAAGAGUCCAUAUCGACGGGAUGGUUUGGCACCUCGAUGUCGGCUCGUCGCAUCCUGGGGCUGGAGUCGGUCCCAAGGGUUGGGCUGUUCGCCCAUUAAAGCGGUACGCGAGCUGGGUUUAGAACGUCGUGAGACAGUUCGGUCCCUAUCCGCUGUGCGCGUAGGAGUCUUGAGAAGGGCUGUCCCUAGUACGAGAGGACCGGGACGGACGAACCUCUGGUGUGCCAGUUGUUCUGCCAAGAGCAUGGCUGGUUGGCUACGUUCGGGAGGGAUAACCGCUGAAAGCAUCUAAGCGGGAAGCCUGCUUCGAGAUGAGGACUCCCACCCCCUUGAGGGGUUAAGGCUCCCAGUAGACGACUGGGUUGAUAGGCCGGAUCUGGAAGCACCGUGAGGUGUGGAGGUGACCGGUACUAAUAGGCCGAGGGCUUGUCCUCAGUUG